UACGGAGGGUGCAAGCGUUAUCCGGAUUCACUGGGUUUAAAGGGUGCGUAGGUGGGUUUGUAAGUCAGUGGUGAAAUCUCCAAGCUUAACUUGGAAACUGCCGUUGAUACUAUAAAUCUUGAAUGUUGUGGAGGUGAGCGGAAUAUGUCAUGUAGCGGUGAAAUGCAUAGAUAUGACCCGGAACACCUAUUGCGAAGGCAGCAGGCUAAACAAAUAUUGACGCUGAGGCUCGAAAGCGUGGGGAUCAAACAGG
This 253-nucleotide ribosomal RNA is filed under the name uncultured bacterium. RNAcentral's name for it is "partial 16S ribosomal RNA". It matches the Rfam family "Bacterial small subunit ribosomal RNA", at positions 524 to 776 of the family's 1533-position model. The record is from RNAcentral.